UAAGUUAGCGGCGGACGGGUGAGUAACACGUGGGCAACCUGCCUGUAAGACUGGGAUAACUCCGGGAAACCGGGGCUAAUACCGGAUAAUUCAUUCCCUCUCAUGAGGGAAUGCUGAAAGACGGUUUCGGCUGUCACUUACAGAUGGGCCCGCGGCGCAUUAGCUAGUUGGUGAGGUAACGGCUCACCAAGGCCACGAUGCGUAGCCGACCUGAGAGGGUGAUCGGCCACACUGGGACUGAGACACGGCCCAGACUCCUACGGGAGGCAGCAGUAGGGAAUCUUCCGCAAUGGACGAAAGUCUGACGGAGCAACGCCGCGUGAGCGAUGAAGGCCUUCGGGUCGUAAAGCUCUGUUGUUAGGGAAGAACAAGUAUCGGAGUAACUGCCGGUACCUUGACGGUACCUAACCAGAAAGCCACGGCUAACUACGUGCCAGCAGCCGCGGUAAUACGUAGGUGGCAAGCGUUGUCCGGAAUUAUUGGGCGUAAAGCGCGCGCAGGCGGUCCUUUAAGUCUGAUGUGAAAGCCCACGGCUCAACCGUGGAGGGUCAUUGGAAACUGGGGGACUUGAGUGCAGAAGAGGAGAGUGGAAUUCCACGUGUAGCGGUGAAAUGCGUAGAGAUGUGGAGGAACACCAGUGGCGAAGGCGACUCUCUGGUCUGUAACUGACGCUGAGGCGCGAAAGCGUGGGGAGCGAACAGGAUUAGAUACCCUGGUAGUCCACGCCGUAAACGAUGAGUGCUA
RNAcentral lists this ribosomal RNA (744 nucleotides) under bacterium SCGC AAA071-E13. RNAcentral's name for it is "bacterial SSU rRNA". It matches the Rfam family "Bacterial small subunit ribosomal RNA", at positions 88 to 818 of the family's 1533-position model. The record is from RNAcentral.